GCAAAUUGACACCGUAACUUCGGGAGAAGGUGUGCCGCUGGCGGUUAGUGACUUCGCGUCACGAAGCUGUCGGUGGUCGCAGUGAAAUGGCGGUUGUGACUGUUUACUAAAAACACAGGACUCUGCGAAGUCGUAAGACGACGUAUAGGGUCUGAUGCCUGCCCGGUGCUGGAAGGUUAAGGGGAUAUGUCAGCGCAAGCGAAGCAUUGAACCGAAGCCCCAGUAAACGGCGGCCGUAACAAUAACGGUCCUAAGGUAGCGAAAUUCCUUGUCGGGUAAGUUCCGACCUGCACGAAGGGCAUAACAACAUCCGCACUGUCUCGACCAGGGACUCAGCGAAAUUACAUUGGGGGUGAAGAUGCCCUCUACCCGCGGAAAGACGGAAAGACCCCAUGAACCUUUACUGCAACUUGGCAGUGAUUUUCGGGUUGUUCUGCGUAGGAUAGGUGGGAGGCUUUGAAGCCGGGCUUCCGGGUUCGGCAGAGCCAACGUUGAAAUACCACCCUGAAUAAUCUGGAAAUCUAACCUGCGCCCAUGAUCUGGGCGAGGGACACUGCCUGGUGGGCAGUUUGACUGGGGCGGUCGCCUCCUAAAUUGUAACGGAGGCGUGCGACGGUUCCCUCAGGCUGAUUGGAAACCAGCCGUAGAGUGCAAACGCAUAAGGGAGCUUUACUGCGAGACUGACAAGUCGAGCAGUUGCGAAAGCAGGUGUUAGUGAUCCGGUGGUACCACAUGGAAGGGCCAUCGCUCAUCGGAUAAAAGGUACUCUGGGGAUAACAGGCUGAUCGCGCCUGAGAGUUCACAUCGGCGGCGCGGUUUGGCACCUCGAUGUCGGCUCAUCGCAUCCUGGGGCUGGAGCAGGUCCCAAGGGUUUGGCUGUUCGCCAAUUAAAGCGGUACGCGAGCUGGGUUUAAAACGUCGUGAGACAGUUUGGUCCCUAUCUUCCGUGGGCGCAGGACACUUGAGAGGAGCUAUCCAUAGUACGAGAGGACCUGGAUGGACGAACCUCUGGUGCUCCGGUUGUCACGCCAGUGGCAUAGCCGGGUAGCCAUGUUCGGAACAGAUAACCGCUGAAGGCAUAUAAGCGGGAAGCUGGCCUCAAGACUAGGUGUCCCUGACGCAAGUCACUAAAGGCCCCUCGAAGACUACGAGGUUGAUAGGCUCGGUGUGGAAGCGCUGCGAGGCGUGGAGCUAACGAGUACUAAUAGGCCGUGCGACUUGACCUC
RNAcentral lists this ribosomal RNA (1226 nucleotides) under metagenome. Its description in RNAcentral is "bacterial LSU rRNA". It matches the Rfam family "Bacterial large subunit ribosomal RNA", at positions 1717 to 2925 of the family's 2925-position model. The record is from RNAcentral.